GGGAGCGAGCGCGGGAGGCCGAGGCCAGACAGGGAGCCGGGCUCCGUGCCGUCCCCGGCGCUUUCGAAUCGCCCAGGGCUGCCGCCGCUCGGCGCCGCGCCGGCUCGCUGGGCUGCAAGAUUUGGGAAAGCAGCACGCGCCCUGCCGGCUCUCUCCGCUCUUCUCGCUUUCUCCCCUCCUUCCAUUUCCCUCUCGCUCUCCUUUACCUUCCUCCUCCCUCUCCCAGGUUUACCUUCCUGAGGCCAGUGGCUUUUUUCUCUGACAUGCCUUAGCGGCAGCCCGGGACACACAGUGGCAGUGGCGGGCACAGGAGCCUCGACCCUGCCUCGUUCUCAGCUCUCUGCCAGACUGCUGGCCUCACCCCCCAUCUCCACCUGGCCAGGAGCAGGUACGGUCAGGUUAGCUGCUCCAUCGGACGCCAGGGGCGUGGUAGGAAUUCUGGGCCGCGGGCCAUUCAAGGUCAGGGGCGCACGCUUCCAUCCUGGGCCUCCCCGGCUCCAGGCCUCCGCCUGGCCAGGGACUCCGACAUUCUCUUGCAAGGCUGGGGUGCCUCUAGCCCCAACCAGGGAACAAAUCAGGAAAGACCCCUUGACCAGUGGAGAUUCCGGCCAAAUUAGGAGAGACAGGAGUGACAGGGGCUGGGAUCCUGGCCUUGUCAAUUACCUUUCCCUCUGUAAGCCGCUCUCUACUCCCAAGAGUUGCCUUUGCCUCUUUUUCUUCCUUCCUUCUUUCCUUCUCGCCUUUCUUCCUCUUUUAUCUUUCUUGUUUUCUUAGCUCCUUUUUUUUCUCUUUCCUUUUCUUUAGUUUUCUUUCAUUUUCAGUCUGUGUCCGGGUUUUCUUCCUCUGCCACCUUUCAU
This 857-nucleotide long non-coding RNA is filed under the name Sus scrofa (pig). RNAcentral's name for it is "lncRNA (ENSSSCG00070011704.1)". Lineage: Eukaryota; Metazoa; Chordata; Mammalia; Artiodactyla; Suidae. The record is from RNAcentral.